UACGUAGGUGACAAGCGUUGUCCGGAUUUACUGGGCGUAAAGAGCGCGCAGGCGGUCGUUCAAGUCGAGUGUGAAAGCCCCCGGCUCCAACUGGGGAGGGUCACUCGAUACUGAUCGACUCGAAGGCAGGAGAGGGUAGUGGAAUUCCCGGUGUAGUGGUGAAAUGCGUAGAUAUCGGGAGGAACACCAGUGGCGAAGGCGACUACCUGGCCUGUUCUUGACGCUGAGGCGCGAAAGCUAGGGGAGCAAAGCGGGG
Molecule: ribosomal RNA, 256 nt
Filed under: uncultured bacterium
Lineage: Bacteria
Description: partial 16S ribosomal RNA
Rfam family: Bacterial small subunit ribosomal RNA
Source: RNAcentral